AAAGGAAUAGACGGGGGCCCGCACAAGCGGUGGAGCAUGUGGUUUAAUUCGACGCAACGCGAAGAACCUUACCAAAUCUUGACAUCGAUAGAAUCUGCUGGAAACAGCGGAGUGCCCUUCGGGGAACUUGAAGACAGGUGGUGCAUGGUUGUCGUCAGCUCGUGUCGUGAGAUGUUGGGUUAAGUCCCGCAACGAGCGCAACCCCUACUGUAUGUUACUAACAGGUUAAGCUGAGGACUCAUAUGGGACUGCCGGUGUAAGCCGGAGGAAGGUGGGGAUGACGUCAAAUCAUCAUGCCCCUUAUGAUUUGGGCUACACACGUGCUACAAUGGGCAGUACAGAGGGAAGCAAAGCCGUGAGGUGGAGCGGAACCCAAAAAACUGCUCCCAGUUCGGAUUAUAGUCUGCAACUCGACUAUAUGAAGUUGGAAUCGCUAGUAAUCGCAGGUCAGCAUACUGCGGUGAAUACGUUCCCGGGCCUUGUACACACCGCCCGU
RNAcentral lists this ribosomal RNA (496 nucleotides) under uncultured bacterium. RNAcentral describes it as "bacterial SSU rRNA". It matches the Rfam family "Bacterial small subunit ribosomal RNA", at positions 903 to 1397 of the family's 1533-position model. The record is from RNAcentral.